CGGAGGAUGCAAGCGUUAUCCGGAUUCAUUGGGUUUAAAGGGUGCGUAGGCGGCUUUUUAAGUCAGUGGUGAAAUCCUGCCGCUUAACGGUAGAAUUGCCAUUGAUACUGAAAAGCUUGAGUACGGUUGAGGUAAGCGGAAUGUGUAGUGUAGCGGUGAAAUGCUUAGAUAUUACACAGAACACCAAUUGCGAAGGCAGCUUACUAAACCGGCAACUGACGCUGAUGCACGAAAGCGUGGGGAGCGAACAGGAUUAGAUACCCUGGUAGUCCACGCCGUAAACGAUGUUCACUCGCUGUUUGCGAUACACAGCAAGCGGCCAAGCGAAAGCAUUAAGUGAACCACCUGGGGAGUACGAUCGCAAGGUUG
RNAcentral lists this ribosomal RNA (369 nucleotides) under uncultured organism. RNAcentral describes it as "bacterial SSU rRNA". It matches the Rfam family "Bacterial small subunit ribosomal RNA", at positions 526 to 896 of the family's 1533-position model. The record is from RNAcentral.